AUGGCUGUGGAGACAACACAACCAACCGCUUCAGAAAUCAAUGAUGCAAAAACUCCGGAAAAAUCGUCCUCUACAACUCCUUCGAGUAGGUAUGGUCGCGCAAGAAAACCUAAAGUAUCGUCUGACUUCGUGGCGCAUGGCAAAAAUGUCAAAAACUUCCUCUCGCCUGGCUCUUGCACAAGUACUACAAAUGGCCAAACUCCUGAACCAUCAAAACAACAGGCGGUUUUGCGAAAGCGAGCAAGCACUUCAUCUAACAGGCUUGCCAAUGCUGAAAAUGCUGGAACUCCUGGAAUCAUGGUAAAUGGCGAAAUUUCUAUUAAAACGCCUGAAAGCUCCUUGAAGGCUAGUAACAAGGUAACGGUUGGAGGUAAGAGGAGAGUCCACAGCUCUCUUGCAGGUGAAAUAGUUUCAGGUACAAUACCUAAUUUUUCGCUCGAUGAGAGCUCAUUAGUUGAAGCAAAUUCUAAUGCAAGCGCACCAGGAAGUGGAACUAAAGUUGCCAGACGUGGACGGGCAAAACAAUCCAUUACGCCUCAACUUAAUGGUGACAUUCCUGAUGCAAACUUGGAAACUUCCACCACAGAAGUUUCUCAUGAAGCCAUUGGAAACACUACUGUUAGUUCGCUUGAUGAAAGCGCAACAGUUGAAGCAAACUGUAGUUCAAGUUUGCCAGGAAGUGUAACUAAAGUUGCCAGGCGUGGACGGGCAAAACAAUCCAUUACGCCUCAACUUAAUGGUGACAUUCCUGAUGCAAACUUGAAAACUUUCACCACAGAAGUCUCUCAUGAAGCCAUUGGAAACACUACUGUUAGUUUGCUUAAUGAAAGCCUAACAGUUAAAGCAAAUUCUAGUGCAAGCGCACCAGGAAGUGGAACUAAAGUUGCCAGACGUGGACGGACAAAACAAUCCAUUACGCCUCAAAUAAAUGGUGACAUUCCUGAUGCAAACUUGAAAACUUCCACCAUAGAAGUUUCUCAUGAAGCCAUUGGAAACACUACCGUUAGUUCGCUUGAUGAAAGCGCAACAGUUGAAGCAAACUGUAGUUCAAGUUUGCCAGGAAGUGUAACGAAAGUUGCCAGGCGUGGACGGGCAAAACAAUCCAUUACGCCUCAACUUAAUGGUGACAUUCCUGAUGCAAACUUGAAAACUUCCACCACAGAAGUCUCUCAUGAAGCCAUUGGAAACACUACUGUUAGUUUGCUUAAUGAAAGUGCAACAGUUAAAGCAAAUUCUAGUGCAAGCGCACCAGGAAGUGGAACUAAAGUUGCCAGACGUGGACGGGCAAAACAAUCCAUUACGCCUCAAAUAAAUGGUGACAUUCCUGAUGCAAACUUGGAAACUUCCACCACAGAAGUCUCUCAUGAAGCCAUUGGAAAACAUACUGUUAGUUUGCUUAAUGAAAGCCUAACAGUUAAAGCAAAUUCUAGUGCAAGCGCACCAGGAAGUGGAACUAAAGUUGCCAGACGUGGACGGACAAAACAAUCCAUUACGCCUCAAAUAAAUGGUGACAUUCCUGAUGCAAACUUGAAAACUUCCACCAUAGAAGUUUCUCAUGAAGCCAUUGGAAACACUACCGUUAGUUCGCUUGAUGAAAGCGCAACAGUUGAAGCAAACUGUAGUUCAAGUUUGCCAGGAAGUGUAACGAAAGUUGCCAGGCGUGGACGGGCAAAACAAUCCAUUACGCCUCAACUUAAUGGUGACAUUCCUGAUGCAAACUUGAAAACUUCCACCACAGAAGUCUCUCAUGAAGCCAUUGGAAACACUACUGUUAGUUUGCUUAAUGAAAGUGCAACAGUUAAAGCAAAUUCUAGUGCAAGCGCACCAGGAAGUGGAACUAAAGUUGCCAGACGUGGACGGGCAAAACAAUCCAUUACGCCUCAACUUAAUGGUGACAUUCCUGAUGCAAACUUGGAAACUUCCACCACAGAAGUCUCUCAUGAAGCCAUCGGAAGCACUUCUGUCUCUAUUCGUCUCGAAGAUAUUGGAGCCAAUGCUGUGAAAACACCUUCAGGCAAGUUAUUCAUAGAAAUUACCGUUUCCGAAUUUUGA
Molecule: long non-coding RNA, 2052 nt
Filed under: Bemisia tabaci
Lineage: Eukaryota; Metazoa; Arthropoda; Insecta; Hemiptera; Aleyrodidae
Description: lncRNA ENSASIAIIG005074
Source: RNAcentral